RNAcentral lists this ribosomal RNA (244 nucleotides) under uncultured bacterium. Its description in RNAcentral is "partial 16S ribosomal RNA". It matches the Rfam family "Bacterial small subunit ribosomal RNA", at positions 530 to 773 of the family's 1533-position model. The record is from RNAcentral.
GGGGGCAAGCGUUAUCCGGAUUUACUGGGCGUAAAGGGAGCGUAGACGGCAGCGCAAGUCUGAAGUGAAAUGCCGGGGCUUAACCCCGGAACUGCUUUGGAAACUGUAUAACUGGAGUGCAGGAGAGGUAAGUGGAAUUCCUAGUGUAGCGGUGAAAUGCGUAGAUAUUAGGAGGAACACCAGUGGCGAAGGCGGCUUACUGGACUGUAACUGACGUUGAGGCUCGAAAGCGUGGGGAGCAAAC